This 60-nucleotide transfer RNA is filed under the name Morphostenophanes yunnanus. RNAcentral describes it as "tRNA-Cys". The record is from RNAcentral. Lineage: Eukaryota; Metazoa; Arthropoda; Insecta; Coleoptera; Tenebrionidae.
GGCCUAAUAGUCAAGUAUGAUAUUAAAUUGCAAGUUUAGAGGUAAGAAAUUUUUAGGCUU